This 554-nucleotide ribosomal RNA is filed under the name uncultured bacterium. RNAcentral describes it as "partial 16S ribosomal RNA". It matches the Rfam family "Bacterial small subunit ribosomal RNA", at positions 355 to 900 of the family's 1533-position model. The record is from RNAcentral.
UAGGGAAUCUUCCACAAUGGACGCAAGUCUGAUGGAGCAACGCCGCGUGAGUGAAGAAGGUUUUCGGACCGUAAAGCUCUGUUGUUGGUGAAGAAGGAUAGAGGUAGUAACUGGCCUUUAUUUGACGGUAAUCAACUAGAAAGUCACGGCUAACUACGUGCCAGCAGCCGCGGUAAUACGUAGGUGGCAAGCGUUGUCCGGAUUUAUUGGGCGUAAAGCGAGCGCAGGCGGAAGAAUAAGUCUGAUGUGAAAGCCCUCGGCUUAACCGAGGAAUUGCAUCGGAAACUGUUUUCUUGAGUGCAGAAGAGGAGAGUAGAACUCCAUGUGUAGCGGUGGAAUGCGUAGAUAUAUGGAAGAAUACCAGUGGCGAAGGCGGCUCUCUGGUCUGCAACUGACGCUGAGGCUCGAAAGCAUGGGUAGCGAACAGGAUUAGAUACCCUGGUAGUCCAUGCCGUAAACGAUGAGUGCUAAGUGUUGGGAGGCUUCCGCCUCUCAGUGCUGCAGCUAACGCAUUAAGCACUCCGCCUGGGGGAGUACGACCGCAAGGUUGAAAC